GCUAGCGGCAGGCCUAAUACAUGCAAGUCGAACGGUAACAUUGGUGCUUGCACCAGAUGACGAGUGGCGCACGGGUGCGUAACGCGUAUGCAACCUACCUUUUACUAGAGUAUAGCCCAGAGAAAUUUGGAUUAAUCCUCUAUAACAUCUUUUAAUUUCAUGAUUUUAAGAUUAAAGUUUUAACGGUAAAAGAUGGGCAUGCGUCCUAUUAGUUUGUAGGUGAGGUAACGGCUCACCUAGACUACGAUAGGUAGGGGCCCUGAGAGGGGGAUCCCCCACACUGGUACUGAGACACGGACCAGACUCCUACGGGAGGCAGCAGUAAGGAAUAUUGGACAAUGGACGAAAGUCUGAUCCAGCCAUGCCGCGUGCAGGAUGACAGCCCUACGGGUUGUAAACUGCUUUUAUACAGGAAGAAACACUCCGACGUGUCGGAGCUUGACGGUACUGUAAGAAUAAGGAUCGGCUAACUCCGUGCCAGCAGCCGCGGUAAUACGGAGGAUCCAAGCGUUAUCCGGAAUCAUUGGGUUUAAAGGGUCCGCAGGCUGUUUUUUAAGUCAGAGGUGAAAUCCUACAGCUCAACUGUAGAACUGCCUUUGAUACUGGAAAACUUGAGUUAUUGUGAAGUGGUUAGAAUGUGUGGUGUAGCGGUGAAAUGCAUAGAUAUCACACAGAAUACCGAUUGCGAAGGCAGAUCACUAACAAUAUACUGACGCUCAUGGACGAAAGCGUGGGGAGCGAACAGGAUUAGAUACCCUGGUAGUCCACGCCGUAAACGAUGGAUACUAGCUGUUCGUCUAACAUUGGUUAGAUGAGUGGCUAAGCGAAAGUGAUAAGUAUCCCACCU
This 847-nucleotide ribosomal RNA is filed under the name uncultured Flavobacteriaceae bacterium. RNAcentral describes it as "bacterial SSU rRNA". It matches the Rfam family "Bacterial small subunit ribosomal RNA", at positions 35 to 874 of the family's 1533-position model. The record is from RNAcentral. Lineage: Bacteria; Pseudomonadati; Bacteroidota; Flavobacteriia; Flavobacteriales; Flavobacteriaceae.